This 1007-nucleotide long non-coding RNA is filed under the name Chloebia gouldiae (Gouldian finch). Its description in RNAcentral is "Erythrura gouldiae (Gouldian finch) lncRNA (ENSEGOG00005018585.1)". Lineage: Eukaryota; Metazoa; Chordata; Aves; Passeriformes; Passeridae. The record is from RNAcentral.
GUUCCCUCCCAGUAUCCCCCAGUCCCACCCAGUACCCCCAAUUCUCCUCCCAGUCCAUCCCAGUCCCUCCCAGUCCAUCCCAGUUACCUCCCAGUACCCCCAAUUUCCCUCCCAGUCCAUCCCAGUCCCUCCCAGUCCAUCCCAGUUCGCUCCCAGUCCAUCCCAGUCCCUCCCAGUACACCCAAUUCCCCUUCCAAUCCAUCCCAGUAUCCCCAAUUCCCCUCCCAGUCCCUCCCAGUACCCCCAGUUCCUCGAAUUCCCCUCCCAGUCCUUCCCAGUCCCUCCCAGUACCCCCAAUUCCCCUCCCAGUUCCCCCAAUUCCCCUCCCAGUCCAUCCCAGUCCCUCCCAGUCCCCCUUUAGCCCCUCCUGGUCCAUCCCAGUCCCUCCCAGUUCCCCCAAUUCCCCUCCCAGUCCAUCCCAGUCCUUCCCAGUCUCCCUUUAACCCCUCCCAGUCCAUCCCAGUUCACUCCCAGUCUCCCUUUAACCCCUCCCAGUCCAUCCCAGUCCCUCCCAGUACCCCCAAUUCCCCUCCCAGUCCCUCCCAGUUCCCCCAAUUCCCCUCCCAGUCCCUCCCAGUUCCCCCAAUUCCCCUCCCAGUCCAUCCCAGUCCCUCCCAGUCCCCCUUUAGCCCCUCCUGGUCCAUCCCAGUCCCUCCCAGUUCCCCCAAUUCCCCUCCCAGUCCCUCCCAGUUCCCCCAAUUCCCCUCCCAGUCCCUCCCAGUCCCCUCCCAGUCCCUCCCAGUCCCCCUUUAACCCCUCCCAGUCCCUCCCAGUCUCCCCAGUACCCACCGGGUUGAAGCCCCCCCCCCGCGGGCCGCAGGGGGUGGGGCAGCAGCGGUGGGUGUGGCCGGGGGGCGGGGCUAAAGGCCAGAGCCCAGGGCUGGCGCAGCACCUGGUGGGUGAGGAUAUGCAAAUGAGGCUUGCAGCCACACCCAAUGUGCCAGCCAAUCACUGCGACGCUCUUUAGGCCACACCCUCCGGUGACCACACCCCAUUGGCCAUAUAAG